CAGCCGCCGCGGUAAUACGAAGGGGGCUAGCGUUGUUCGGAAUUACUGGGCGUAAAGGGCGCGUAGGCGGCCAUUCAAGUUAGAUGUGAAAGCCCUGGGCUCAACCUAGGAAUUGCAUUUGAUACUGUUUGGCUUGAGUUCGGGAGAGGUGAGUGGAAUUCCCAGUGUAGAAGUGAAAUUCGUAGAUAUUGGGAAGAACACCAGUGGCGAAGGCGGCUCACUGGACCGACACUGACGCUGAGGCGCGAAAGCGUGGGGAGCAAACAGGAUUAGAUACCCGCGUAGUCCCUGUCUCUUAUAC
Molecule: ribosomal RNA, 301 nt
Filed under: uncultured bacterium
Lineage: Bacteria
Description: partial 16S ribosomal RNA
Rfam family: Bacterial small subunit ribosomal RNA
Source: RNAcentral